This is a long non-coding RNA of Brienomyrus brachyistius, 2383 nucleotides long. RefSeq lists it as uncharacterized. NCBI's taxonomy places the organism in Eukaryota, Metazoa, Chordata, Actinopteri, Osteoglossiformes, Mormyridae. The record is from RefSeq and is a predicted model, not a curated record. The transcript has 2 exons.
UUCAGAUUGAGCUGUUUCACAUUCUACCGCUCUAUUUGCACAUCGACAUGAGCCCACAAGUAGAAUGCAAGAAAAAAACUCCCUUUAACAGUGAAGACAUUUCUGGAUUACCCACAAAGACAUAUAAGAAGAAUAAUCAAUUUAAAUGAGUUUUUUGGAAAUACAAAAAUGUAGCCUGGAGUUUUCUGAAUGCUUCUUUGCGUUAGUUAAAUCUGAAGCAAAUGUCACUAAACAUUAUUGUAUAAAUGGGCGUCAUGGCGGCACCAUUCAGUUACCUAAGAGAGAGAAACUGUAAUGGUUCUAUGCAGACAUAGAUCUGGAUUAUUGGAUAAAGAAUUAAAAUAUGGACACUCUGUGGAAACGCCUGGAUAGCUUCACAGGAAGACAAGAAGUUGACUCUGUGUGCAAUAAAUGAAUUGCCGAUAUAUUGUGAAACAAAAGGAUUUUAAAGGGGCCGAAACCUUCUCACCUGACACGGUGGACUUGUCCGGCUCCGGGAAACUGGCGACCCUUUUGGGCAGCUAAUCGAACUGGCAGGACGUGAAUGAAAAUUGGGGACUGUGGCACAGACUCGGCGUGGUUGCACGAUCUGAGCUAGGAGAUCGAAAAGGAGUCAGAGGAUGGAUCGGUUUUAUUGUACAUUACAGCCGCGGUCCGCUUUGCGUGUAAGACGGCAGGAGAACAGCCCACCAUCGACAAGUAGCCUGAUAUUCACGGUGGCUGGACCAAGCUUCAGGACUGCCGAUGAUGAGUCGAGGACUCGGCUGUCUGAAUGUAAGGAUGUAAGAUCUGCUUUUCACUGUAACUCUGCGGCCGAGCCUCCUCUCCAGCUUCCCAGGUAUCCUUCAUUAUGAACGAGCCUCAAACCUCCUUCCUGAUAAUUAAAAUCUAAUUUUCCUUUCCCAUUUGUCCGAAUCUAACCCUAUUAAGCUGAGGUGUAACUAAGGAUGCAGCACAUCAACUCCGCAAUGAAGGGUGAAUGUGUGAGUCUGCUUCCCCUUUUUGGGGGAUGAAAAACGGUCCCUGACUAAUGGCAACUGCAGAAAAGGAACAAAACACGAGGCGGAAAGUGGGAGAUGAAGAGCAGCAUCUGCACCGUGGCGUAGGAGUGAAAAAUCAAGUGAAGCACGCCAUCUGGGCACUGGGGAUGACGAAGACCCUUUGGCAGGCGGAUCCUCUCACAGAACCGGCAGACUCCUGGAGGCCUGGUGCGGCUGCCACCCAGUGAUCCAUUGUUGGAGCUUCCUUUGCUGCGCCUGACCUGAACUCGUGUGCGUUACCGAUGCAGCAUGUUGCUGCUGCCUUCACUUCCAUUAGCACUGCAGCCCCAAUCAGCUCUCAAUCUGUCCAUAUCUAUGCAUAAUUCCGCAGCUUUUGUCGCAUGUUAAGGAAACUCCCGCAGCAAUGGUGAGUGGAUGAAUGAAGAGAACCUAAUGUGAAAGAAUCAGUUUGCCUAAUUAAUCCGUAACACCAAAUACCUACUGUCCCUAAAAUGGGGGUUCUUUUAAAGGUCCUCUAGUUUUGACAAACAUCAGCUGUCACAUUUCUCAAGGGUAGCUCUCAGUCUUAGAAUCAGUGCUGUCUGUAUCUUGAUUGUUAGUUUAAAGCCACCAAAAUAUUCUCAUUUGCUCAUUUCUAAUGACUAAAUCAUCUGUAUUAUUGCAUAAAGGUCAUCAGAUGUAAAGGACGUCGUUUCUAACGCCCCUAUGUCGCGUGUGUAAUGGGCAAAUUUUCAAGCACCGAUUAUCAAGUGCUUGUGCGGCACAGUGUCCCUUAUAAGCCAUUCGGAUCUGAUGAGGUACUAUGACCUCAGCCGCAGAGGUGAUUAUGGGAAAUGGAUGAACCGAAAUCUCACUGGGGAAGCUUGCCAGCAGAAUUCCCCGUAUUGCUCGUUAUUGUCUGACGGAGGACACAAAUCAGGCAGGUUUUGCGUACAUAAGCAAUGCUGUUGACAAACCCAAACCAGUGUUGCCCAUUAACCCUUUCGUUUCCAUUUGCUUUGCAGAAUGCAGCAUGGCCAGAGGGCAACUUUGUCCUCAUGAGUUCUACAGAAGCUACAGAAAGUUUGAAUUUAACUCAAUGUAAGGAGAAUGCUACUACACAAUUCAGCCUUUGGGUCUUUAUGUCUGGCAACUAAAAGCCAUGGAUUUCAUGUUGGAAUGUAGACAUCACGAAUGAGAAGUACUAUUUAUUCAGUAUGUGUGUGUCCUACAAACAUCUCAUACUUGUAGCCAAUUCUGCCUAUAUGUAGAGCAAACCUUCUAUGCCGGAAUACAAAGUACUUAAUCACACUUAACUUGCCUUGAUUAGGAGAAACAAGACAUACAUGUACAGAAGUCUUGGGCAAAGAAAAUGAUUAAAUAAUUUUCAUAUUGGUCUAAAA